This 9623-nucleotide long non-coding RNA is filed under the name Olea europaea (common olive). RNAcentral's name for it is "long non-coding RNA (OEUR_LNC006435)". The record is from RNAcentral. Lineage: Eukaryota; Viridiplantae; Streptophyta; Magnoliopsida; Lamiales; Oleaceae.
UUUAAUGUCAAAAAUUCAAAAUUAAAUAUCACAACAUCUAAAGUAGGAUUAAAUAGUUAUCCUUCCAUAUAUACAAUUAACCAAGCAUCAUAUUAAUUACAAGGACACAAAAUAAAUUUGUACAACAUCACCAAUAAUUAAAGUUUGAAAAGAAAAUGAAAAUAAAUUUUGAAAGCAUUGAAUAUCCCCAAUGGCUCAUUGAUCAAUCUCAUUUGAUUCUUGUUCUUUUCAAUGCAAACAAAUAAUAAAUGAAAGUGAUUAUGGAUGUAUUCUGUAACAAAUUCGAAGCUUUGAAAAGAAUUAAUAUCGAUUGAGGCUUCCCCCGUGGCUUUUCUCCUUUUCAAGAAUAAUGAGAUUUGUAACCCUAAGAGCCUUCUUGUCUUGAAUAAUACUUGUAGAUUGAAUCCCAUAAUUCUUCUUCGAUUGUAGGAUGAAAAUAAGCAUUUAUUUGCCUCAAGAUCAGGCCAAAAAUCGUAACUUAGUUGCUUUCCAAAUAAAAUUAGAGAAAAACAAGGAAAUCAAAUUUAUUUCGCAAUCCAAAUAAUCUUCAAUAUGCUCCGAAUAAAUCCCAAUUAAGCUUUAAAAAACAAUUUUCAAGUCAAUUGCAUCCAAGUUGGAAUUUUACCUAUAACUAACAUAUUUACACAAAUUAAAAUAGAUAUCCUCUCAAUAUAACAAUAAAUAAUAAAUAAUAGAAAUUCACAUAAGUGAGUAAUAUGAAUUUAUCAUACACAAUAAUCAAAUAUUCAACCUUUUUCUUGUAAUCGAGACCAGAUCUCUUGACUGCAGGGGUAGGGAUCUUGGGUAGAGAGGGACAGCCUUAAGAUUUGAAGAUUAUGAAUGAAUACAUUAUCAAGGAAAAUUCCUUAACUCAAGCCAAAGACAAGGAAGAUGAUUCUUAGGUUCAAACCAAGGAUAAUCUUAAAAUGUAUCAAGCACCAGUAAAACAAAGCAAGCUGCACAAAUCAAGCAUUUAGAAUGAGCGUGGAAAAUUCUCAUUGACUUGAGCAUUUAGAAAUUAAACUUAACUUAACAAUUUUAUUAUGGCAUUAGACUUGCAAACUUUAACGACAAUUGAUCUACUUUCCAGAAAUAGCUUUCUCCCACAACAUCAACACCCCUGACUUCUUCCCUAACCCAGCCACCCUUUCCAACUGAUAAGCCCUUGAUUGUUCUCAACAUUUCUACUCAGAUUAAUGGGAAGCUAACACCCUCAAUCUUUCCACAAUGGCGUGCCCAAUUUGAAGCCUUCUUCAUCGACUAUGACAAAGAGGGAGGAAAUACACAAAAAGGGCUCUUCCACUGUAGCAAAAUUUGACAUUGGCCUUUGACCCAUUAAAUGAAUUAAAAAAAAAACAAAUUAAGUUAAAAAAAAACUUCACAGUAAAAGCCCAUUUUACCCUUCAGACUAUUUGAAAAUCUCUCACCGACCGCCGACCGACCAGUGCAGAAAUUCGACCGACCGACCGACCAUCGGAGUUACACCAACGUCGCAAUCAACGACCAUCGUCUACACCGGAAAUAAAAUAACGGUUAGUUGUCUGAUCUUUUCUCCAGUUCAUUCGGUUUUCAUGGUAUAACACUUUCCUUAGUAAUUUUGGUUUAAUUAGAUCCAUGUGCAUGAGUAGUUAGAUUGUGGGCAUGCUGGAGUGUGAAAAAUGUGAAUUUUUGGCAUUUUUUGAAACUUAGUGGUCGGGAAUGGCUGUUUUCGGCCGUUCCCGGCCGCCGGCUCGACUGUUAACAGUCUGGGCAGUCUGGGCUGGUGAACCGACCCAGAUUAAAUAUUUAAUUUUAAAUUUUUUUAUAAUUUUUGUAAUUAAUUAAAUUUUUUAUUUGAUUAAAUAGUAAUUAUGUUAUUUAUUUAUUUAAUUUUUUUUAUCAUUGUCAAUAUAAUAUAAUAAUUGAAAUAUUGUAAAAUUAACAAUGUUGAUUAUUUUUUUUAUGAAAUUAUCUUUAAUUUAUUUUUUCAAAAUUUUUUAUGAAAUUAUCUUUAAUUUUUUAUUUCAAAUUUAUUUAAUUUUUAUAUUUGUCUUUUAUAUAAUCUAAUAAUUGAAAUAUUGUAAAAUUAACAAUGUUGAUUCUAUUUUUUUUAUGAAAUUAUCUUUAAUUUAUUUUUUAAAUUUAUUUAAAUAAUAUGAAUAGUCUAAAUUUUAAAAAAAGGUAAAGUAAUUAUUUAUUUAAUUUUUAUAUUUUUCUUUUAUAUAAUUUAACAAUUGAAAUAUUCUAAAAUUAACAAUUUUGUGUUGUUCCUUUUUUUUUAUGAAAUAAUCUUUAAUUUAUUUUUUCAAAUUUAUUUAAAUAAUAUAAAUAGUCUUUACAUUUUUCGAAAAUGUAAAGUAAUUAUUUAUUUAAUUUUUAUAUUUGUCUUUUAUAUAAUUUAAUAAUUGAAAUAUUCUAAAAUUAACAAUUUUGUGUUGUUCCUUUUUUUUUAUGAAAUAAUCUUUAAUUUAUUUUUUCAAAUUUAUUUAAAUAAUAUAAAUAGUCUUUACAUUUUUCGAAAAUGUAUUUAAUUUGAAAUUUUUUGUUUGUAAAUAUAUUUUCCAAAUAAUAAUUAUUUUAUUUAAUUAUUUAAUUUUUAUAAUUUCCUUUUUUAUAUAAUUUAAUAAUUGAAUAGAUAAUAUUGUUCGAAAUUAACAAUUUAUUUUGUUCCUUUUAUUGUUCUUUUAUAAAAAUCUUUGAUUUUUUUUAAUUUAUUUAAAUAAUAUUUAUAUUCUUUAAUUUUUUUGACAAUACAUUUAAUUUGAUUUGUUAUUUUUUGUAAAUAUAUUUUUCAAAUGUAAUAUUUGCGAUUGUAUGGUAGUCAGAGUUCGGUUCUCUUGAUUUUGUGAGAUUAUGCUUUCUUUUGUUAUUUCUUGUUCAAUGCUAUAAUAUUUGAAUUUUUGCAGGAUGGAGUAUCAUUUAGAUGCAGAGUUGAGACGGAUGUCGGGGAAAGCUACUUGGAACAGUAGCUUUGAGAGUUUUACUGCUGUGUUGGAGUUGCUCGAUGAUCAGCAUGGAGAUAUGCUACAACAGUCCUUCUUGUGGCCACUGUACCAGUUGCGAGAGGUGCAGUACUCAGGACAGAUCAUUGAUGCACUUCUAUGUCGGCUUCUGAGGCCAGUCGACGGCUAUUCCCUCCAAUUCGACCUCGGGGGCAAGGUCGUCAGUUUCUCGAUGUUUGAGUUUACAUUGAUCACUGGACUGAGGAUUACGGACGACGAUGCAGCCAUGGAGAGAAGCAGUAGGCUGUACAAGACGUACUUCCAGGGACAUGGGUCGGUGCUUCUACCCGACUUGAUGGUCGCGAUCAGGGGGUGCGACCAUAUGCUAGAUAGAUUGAAGCUUGGGCUGGUCUACAUCCUCGAGAGUGUGAUGAGGUGUCAUCACAAGAAGACUGCCAUCGACAUUUUUCAUUUGCAAGUUGUUGACGACAUCAAUGCAUUCAACAACUAUCCGUGCGGUCGAAGAUGCUACAAAGACACCGUACAUGUGUUCACCAGAUCGCACUCGAGACCCAGGGGAUCGAUGCGUAAAUACGAUACAUAUGGAUUAUCGUUAGCGAUGCAGGUAAAUGUUUAAUAUAAUCAAAGUUAAAGUUUUAGUGUAUUACAUUGAUACUUAAUAAGUGUAUGUGUUACAGAUUUGGGUGUAUGAGAUAGUUCCUGUACUGGGGGCUCGCUUUGCGCAGCGAGGGGAGACACGCUGCCCUCGGAUGCAUCAUUGGAGAUCAUCGCGAGCGGAGGGAUGUCCCACUGGGAAGCAGUUAUCGGCCCUCCUCGACGAUCCUCAGGUAAGUAUUAUGCAUUUGUGAUUUAUAUUAUACGUAGUUUAAAAUUUUGUUUACAUGAUCAUUAAAUAGUUGAAAUGUCAAUAUGUCAGCUUGAAGUCAUACCUGAGUUAACGCCAUCGAUGGAAGAGGAGGCUCAAGGUCUUGUGCGGGAUUUAGGCGUUCUGCACACCCCACACGAGGAGAUGCCUGAUCCGAGCUUGGACCGAGAUUGGGUAUGUGAAUGAAACAUAAUUUAUUGAAUAUGAUCGACGUAUAAAUUUAUUGAAUAAUUUAUUGAAUAAUUUUUCAUUUUAUUUAUGUAGGAGGGCGGUCCAGCUGAUCAACGAUCACCUCCGCCAAGGGCAUCGCCGCCACCAUUGGCAUCAUCUCCGCCGAGAGUAUCGUCCCCGCCAUUGGCAUCACCGCCGCUAGUGGCAUCACCUCCGCCGGGGCCGUCGCCGUCGCCAUUGGCAUCACCUCCGUCCAGACACCUCCCCCGUGUGUCUCCGGGGCACAAUGAUGAUUUGUAUGCCCGUUUAACGGAGAGGGUCGAUGAUCUGGGACGAGAGUUGACAGGGAGGGUCGACGAUCUGGCAGGGAGGGUUGACUAUAUGACAGGGAGGGUCGACGAUAUGGGACGAGAGUUCACAGGGAGGGUUGACGAUCUAUCCCAUGAUGUUGGAAUACUACAGUCUUCCGUUGUCGAGCUUCAGGAUACAGUAGCGGCGCUUAGAGGAGAUUUAGCCGACAGACGAUGGGGGGACAGAGGGGAUGACAGAGAUCAUGAUCGAGAGGGUGGCAGAGAUGAUGAUGGAGAGGGGGGUCACCCACAUUUUUGGCGUGAUGAGACAUUGGAGUCAUUGUGGUUGUCUAUGGAGGGGGUGGCCCCGAUGGGGAUGGGAGAGUGGACUACGGAGGGGGUGGCCCCGACGGGAGGGGCGGAGGAGGUGGCGACGGAGGGGGAGGCCCCGACGGGAGGGGCAGAAGUGGUGGCGACGGAGGGGGAGGCCCCGAUGGAGGGGGCGGAGUAGGUGGCCCCGGAGGUCGAGAGGACGCCCGGCGUGAUUGAGGGUAAGAGACAUGCUGUUGACGAGACGGAGCAGGUGGUCGGCAAGAGAUUGAGAGUGCCGUCACAGUAUGUUGUCUCCCCCUUCACGACUGAGGCCAAGAGGAGGACGUUCAUCGAUGGGAUGUACCCGAACUUAUUCAGAGAGGUGGACAAUGCCAAGUGGAAAGCGUUCGAGACAGAGUGGAGGAGAAUUAUCCCCGGGUAAGUAUUGUAUGAUUUUAAUAAAACACUGUACGCUAACUCGUCUACGCUUAUUUUAACAUUUACCUCUUUUUUACAGAGUUAGCAUCACGAUAGGACAAAGGACGGUCUCGGACCCUUACAAGUGGUUCCACGAUAUCACCACUGCGGGAGCUUGGCUCGCUGACUUUGUAAGUGAAUUAUUCAUUUCAUGUUUUUUAUGUAUAUAUGACCUUGUGUUUAUUAAAUGAAUAACUCAUACUUUUUUGGUGUUUCCUGCUGCAGCACAUCGACCUGGCCAUGGACUUGCUGUGUGAUCGAGCUCAAAGACAUCCAAAAUCAUUUGAUGUCCAUGGUCGAGUCAUAUUAAACACCGAGUUCCUGGGUGCCGUUACCAUAGAGUAUCAGUCGCUCGCACUUAUGGGUAACGAGUACACGGUGCCAGAAUAUAUGCUCGAGUGGGUGAUAGGACUGUCACCGAGUGUCGGGGGAAAAUCAUGGGAGGGUUGUACACAUAUGUACAUUCCAGCAUGCAUCAAUAAACACUAUGUUACGCUGGAGAUCGUUUUUGCUGACUCGACUAUAUAUGUGUACGAGCCAAAUCAUUCAUGUUUGACACAAGGCCAAUUGGAGCAAAACCUGGAGUCCGUGGCUGUAAUUGUUCCUAUGAUGGCCAAACGAGCGGGGAUAAAUGUACAGGACAGAUUGCGGAUCGUUUGGAACACGACGACAGCACGACAGUCCGUAAGGUAAGUGUUUGAACGUUGUUGUUUUCAUCUUUCAGAUUUAGUUUUUAUUUACACAGUACUAAACUAAUUCAUUCUUGUUCAAUUGCAGGGACGACUGCGGCAUAUUUGCCAUUAAGUACGUUGAAUUUUUAAGUAUAGGACAUAAGGUUGAUGAACCAGUCGUGGAUACAGAACUGGAGAAAGAAGUUAGCAUAUAAUUUGUUUGAAUUUAAUGCUGACCCACCCAUAAAUUUCAUUUAUAUAUAUGUAACAUUUCAAUUGUAAAUUUAAUUAUUUUUGUAAUUAUGAAAUAAUUGUAAAUUUGUGUUCAAUGUAUAUAACAUUUCAAUUGUAAAUUUAAUUAUUUUUGUAAUUAUGAAAUAAUUGUAAAUUUAAUUAUUUUUGUAAUUAUGAAAUAAUUGUAAAUUUGUGUUCAAUGUAUAUAACAUUUCAAUUGUAAAUUUAAUUAUUUUUGUAAUUAUGAAAUAAUUGUAAAUUUGUGUUCAAUGUAUAUAACAUUCAAAUUGGAAAUUUAAUUAUUUUGGUAAUUCUGAAAUAAUUGUAAAUUUGUGUUCAAUGUAUAUAACAUUCAAAUUGGAAAUUUAAUUAUUUUUUGUUAUUUUACCCGCAUGCCGAGUAUGGAACUAUUUUUUUCAUAUGAAUUAUUAUAAAUACCAUUUAUAGAGAAUAAAUAUUGAAUAUGGAAGAUUUAUAAAUAACAAAUAUUGAACAGUGUAAAGUAAAAGGAAAUAUUAUUCAUUUCACGUGUCUGUCUAGUCGUCAUUUAGGGAAAUUUGACUGGUACAAAAUUGUCGAGUAUGCCCUACGGCUCUGCACCGGCCACACCUACGCGGUCAAGGAAACUCUCCGGUAGAUGGUAUUCUAGAUGUACUUGGAUGUCCAAGACCACGCGGUUCAACUGCUGGUGGUGACAAAUUAUAAAAUGGGAGAAUGUGCUCGGGAACUUCCCACUCGGCUUCAUUCGGCAGAGGAAAUAUAGUCUCGGUAUAUGCUGUUCUCCAAGACUCAGUCGUAUAAUACAAAGAGCACAACGUUCUCGCAGCAAAGCCUCGAUACAUGACCAUCGCAACUGCAUGCUCACAUGGAAAACUCUCCAACUGAAAUCUCGUACAAGUGCAUGUGUUAUCAGUCAAGUCCACCAUAUAUGCCGUAUUACGUGCACAUUGCACGGAGAAGCAAAACUCAUCUAGUGCUUCCACAUUCAACUUCCUCGCAACCUCUGCCGCCUUAAAUAGUUUCUCCUCUUGAGCUGGGGCCAACACGCUAGUGCAACUCUGUGAUGCCGCACGUCGGUCAUGAAACCACUGUUGUAGCUUGUUACGAAUGUUCUCAAUCAUUGCGAGAAUUGAUAACUCUCGAUCCUUCUUAAACAAUGCAUUGAGAGACUCCGCGUUAUUCGACGUCAUCAUGUUGUAUCGACGUCCUGGAAAGUAUGACCGCGCCCAAUGUUCGAUCCCCAUCUUCAUCAGAUACUCCAACGCCGGUAAUGAUUUACUUCCUAUCUCGAGCAUGAACUUAUUACACUCUUCAGCACUGUAAGCUUCGGCUGCUCUCCUGAACAAUGAAACGAUGCCUGUGCCCCGAUACCUAGUCUUCAAAUUACCUUGUAUAUGGUACAUGCAAUACCCGUGAUGUGCCUCGAGAAAAAUUUCAGCGAUACCGUUUAUUAUAGACUGUCCUUGAUCGGUUACAAAGGCAAGGUAUUCGACUUCCCCGAUCACUUCCCUCAGUUUAGAAAAGAACUAACGCAUGGACAGAUCAUUCUCGCUGUCGACUAUGCCGAAUGCAAUAGGGUAAAUUUGGAUAUUGGCAUCUUGACAUGUAGCAAUAAUUAAUUUGCCUUGAUAUUUAGCUUUCAGAGUCGUACCAUCAACUAGAAUUACGGGUCGCAUUGCAUUUUGAAAACCUCGAAUACNNNNNNNNNNNNNNNNNNNNNNNNNNNNNNNNNNNNNNNNNNNNNNNNNNNNNNNNNNNNNNNNNNNNNNNNNNNNNNNNNNNNNNNNNNNNNNNNNNNNNNNNNNNNNNNNNNNNNNNNNNNNNNNNNNNNNNNNNNNNNNNNNNNNNNNNNNNNNNNNNNNNNNNNNNNNNNNNNNNNNNNNNNNNNNNNNNNNNNNNNNNNNNNNNNNNNNNNNNNNNNNNNNNNNNNNNNNNNNNNNNNNNNNNNNNNNNNNNNNNNNNNNNNNNNNNNNNNNNNNNNNNNNNNNNNNNNNNNNNNNNNNNNNNNNNNNNNNNNNNNNNNNNNNNNNNNNNNNNNNNNNNNNNNNNNNNNNNNNNNNNNNNNNNNNNNNNNNNNNNNNNNNNNNUCGUUUAUGUUCUCAUUGUCUUCAACUGUCGACGGAAUUCUGCGAGUAACAGCGACAUCACGAUCAGAAGCAACUGUCUCAGGAAUACCCACAUCAUCCGCAGGAACUAUCUCCACUGUCUCCCAAAAACCUCGAUCAUUGUUAUCCGCCCUAUCUAAAUCUUCGCGUUCACCUUCGAUAACAUCCUUCGUAAUUAAAGUCACACCAAGAACAGUCGGAAUCCGAUACAUUUUAUUCAAUUCUAAUAGAUAAUUCAAUUCAGCAUCAUUAGUAACAAAUACCGGUGGCAUCAGAAUGGAUGAAUCCCCAUAACCGUUGAAUAGAUAUCUCAAUUGCAUAUCGUAUUGAGAUUGAUCGACAUUCAGCUUAUUUUGCAAAUCGUGAUACAUUUCUAAGUAUGGUGUACUCUCUGUUACGGGAAUUGCAAUACAACCACGUAUGUCACUCGUCCAUCUCCAUUCCCACCGAUUAUUUUCAUUCAAUUCGAAAUCACCGAAAUAACACACGGGGAUUAUCAUAUCUGCAUGAGAAAAUGGUUUUAAUCAACUUCAAUUAUUAAUUAUAAGAAAGAAAAAGGCAUUAAAAAUCAGCUGCAGCCAAUUGGCUGUUUAACAGCUGAACAGCCGGCUGUUGGCUGUUCGGCUGUUUAACAGCCAAGCAGUCGGACUGUUUCCGACUGUUUGUUAAGCUUUAUCCAGUUUGGCGUAGGAGAAUACUGUUCUAAAAACGAAAUUAAGCAUGCGUAAUUUAAACGUAAGUUAUACAUCUGUUUAAUUUUUUUUUGAUAGGUUCUGUUAAAAAAAAUCCAUGUCGACAUAAAAUUUCUCUAUUUAAACGUAUACUAAUUUACUUAAAACGAAAUUAAACAUGUGUAAAUGUACUUACCGAUUUGAAGUAAUUGAUGUGAAAAAAAUUUCCAGCUUCAACGUUCCAAAGUUCUUCUAGAUUUUGAGGUUCAAGCAGAUGAAAAGAUGAGAGUUUUUUCUGUGUUGGAAGCUCGUUUUGAAGUUUUUAUAAGUGGGGAAAUGUUUGGUUUUCAAUUAUUAACUAAAAGGGUAGUAUAGUCCUUUCAACAAUAUAUUGUUUUGUAAUUGUACAAAACAUUUAAGGGCAUCUUUAUCUUUUACUAUACAAGAGGCCAAUGUCAUAAAUAUUCAUGAUUUUGGAAGUCAAAGUGAAAUUUAGCUCCUUUGACUGGGUCAAACUUAAAAGUACCCUAUCAAUUUGACUAUGUCAUUGGAGACCACUCACGUCCCAUCCCUAUUGGCACUGCAACUUUCACCCUUUGGCACUGCAACUUUCACCCUUCAAAAGACCCCUUGGAUCCGACUGUAAAAACUUAUCCUUAAUGCUAUGCUAGUCUCUACCACCACAACUAUCACUCCAUCAUCUCAGUUGCCAAAACAUCCCAAGAAGUUUAGAAGAAUUAAAACACCAUGUAUGUGAGUAAAUCACAAACUUAAGCAAUGCAACUAAAGGAGGAGCUUACCCUAAUUCAGAGGGGCAAUCAAUCCAUGCCCUAUUACCUGCACGAGGUGAAAGCCCUUGCAGAUAAGAUUGCCUCAUCGAUCAUC